Molecule: long non-coding RNA, 1328 nt
Organism: Apis florea (little honeybee)
Lineage: Eukaryota; Metazoa; Arthropoda; Insecta; Hymenoptera; Apidae
Source: RefSeq, a predicted model, not a curated record
UAAGAUCCCAUUACGUUCUUUUACAAAUUUUUCCCGCAUUUUUUUGUUCGAAGCGAAUCCUUUCCCUUUGAAAUAUUCUUUUUUAAACGACAACAGUCACAUGUAUAUCGAGAAUGGAAAAGAGGAUGACUGGAAGAAUCGAAAUCAGCAGGGGAAUGGAACAUACGCGGGAGACGGUCGUUAGACAACCAUUUCAGUAACCAUACCAACGGUAAUGCCGAAUCAUUAGAGGUUUCUGGUUGGCAACAAUGCCUCAAGGGGAGGGGAGGAGGAGUGAGAGGAACUUUUGUGCCGAGGAAUCGCUCGCGCCAAACAAAUCAACGGAAAUUGGGAUUUCUUGAUGGGAAUCGAGCUUGAGGAUAGAUGCCUACCGAUCAUCAUUACUGGCAAACGAUUAUCAACGAGGUGUCUGAUAGCCUGACGUUUGAUAAAAACCUCUGUGAAAUGGGUAUUCGAGUUGGUGUAAGUGAAAGAAAGCGAGAUAGCGAUUAAGCGGAAUCGUGGUGAAGAGAGAGAAAGAGAAAGAGCUUCCGUGUGUCGAGCAGGGAAAGAACGUUGAGUGUUACGAAUGAAAUAUAAUUCCAUCGACUUGGCUGUAAAACGUUGUCACUUUAAACCCGGAAAAUUGUAACGCUCCGGGGAAAUUAGAUUACGAGCAUAAAGGAAGGCAAUUUCUUUCGGAAGGAACGUUUAAUGAAAGCUUUUGAAAUCUAAAGAAUCUAAGAGAGAAGUGUAAAUAUAAUACUUCGAAAAAUAAAGAACAAUUGUGAUGGAUAAUUUCAAAAGAUGAUCGAACAAGCUUGAAAAUCCAUGGAAAGGAGCUUAAAAGUAUCGAUUUCCAUGUAAGCGAUUAACAGUCGCGACAACAAAACGCGAGCACACGCAAAAGAGCUAAACGAAUUCUGGCCGCGGGAUUAAACCGGGCACAAACGCGGACACAUUCAAUUAUCCGUUGUGCAUCCGGAUACAAGGCUGUGCUGGAGAUACGAGAGCCGCCCUCUCGAAUCCAGUUCUCGCGGCAUGGCCGCUCGAAAAGCGUAAAGACUAAGCGGAAAAGCGAGUCGACGUUUCCCUGGAAAUGUGCCGGCGUUAUCGUUUCCGUCCUCAUAACGUGCCACGGCGCCGCUUAUCGCGCUUUAUCAGCAACGAUCCGUUGGAAAGCUACGCGAGCACUUUCCACCCUAUCAUCUCUCCCCUCCGUUCACUCACCCCCGUUUUCCUUUCCUUUUAUUUUCCAUUUCCUCUCUCCUUUUUCCUUUUCCUCUUUUUCGAUUCGUAUUUCCGUACCCUCUUUCCUUUAAAUAUCGUUUUCAAUAUUUGAAAUAUCA